UUAUAGUUUGAUUCUAGCUAACCUGUUAAUUAAGCCUAUCGCGCACAUGCAACCCUAUCGACCCCCGAUUAUGCUUUAGCACAUUAAUUCUCAAUGAAUAUAAUAGCAAAAGCUUAAAACUUUUAUUUCCCGCCUGCAGUGAAAAAUUUUGAGUAAAAUAUUAAAGUAUGAUCCAGAAACUGGCUAUUAGGACUGGUCAAAUUCGUGCCAGCAACCGCGGUUAGACGAAAAGUCCUAGUUAACACCUUCGGGAAGCUGAAAAUCCUAAAACUCGGUAUAAACCAAAAUAUAAGAGGUGCAAUUCGAAAACUUCUAUCUUCACCCUUGAUACCACUAAGUACAUUCAGGACCCCUGAGACAAAAACAAGGAUUAGAGACCCUUCUAUCCUCAGAAGUAAAUUUCAAAACCCGGGGACUAAAAACUCCCAUUUCAAACUCAAAGAUCUUGGCGGCACUUUAACUCCCUAGGGGAACCUGUCCGUGAAACCGAUAAUCCGCGCUAAACCUUCCCUUUGUUUGCCUAACCAGCCUGUGUACUGCCGUCCAACCCCGCUUACUCACCUAAAGAACUCGAAGUAAACCAACCAGACCACCCUACUAUGUCAGGUCGAAGUGCAGCCUAUACAAAGGACGUGAUGGGUUACAACCUUUACUAGAUACAGAGAUUUAAUGAAACAUUAAACCAAAAGGAGGACUUAGAAGUAAUUAUUAUUUAGAACACAAAAAUGAAUACAGCCACCUAGAGUGUGUACACAUCGCCCGUCGCUCUCGCCGAAAGGUGAGAUAAGUCGUAACAUAGUUGGCGCAGUGGAAGCUGUGCCUUUUCAGAA
Molecule: non-coding RNA, 830 nt
Filed under: Chloeia sp. r EEE-2022
Lineage: Eukaryota; Metazoa; Annelida; Polychaeta; Eunicida; Amphinomidae
Source: RNAcentral